Calypte anna (Anna's hummingbird) is the source of this 1156-nucleotide long non-coding RNA. RefSeq lists it as uncharacterized. NCBI's taxonomy places the organism in Eukaryota, Metazoa, Chordata, Aves, Apodiformes, Trochilidae. The transcript has 4 exons. The record is from RefSeq and is a predicted model, not a curated record.
CCCCUGUCCAGGGGAUCUCUUUCUGCUUCUGUCUCCUCUCUGUAGUCACAGAGCAGCUAAGAAGGGAUCUUGCUACUGCUCCUCUAUCUGGGUGGAAGUGAGAUGCGUUUCCUGCCAACUCCUGCUCCAGAAUUCUUGCCAUAAUGCAGCAGUUUUAACUUUUACAUGAAGUUGGUUUCCAGACAUCUAUGCUGGUGAGAAAUGCUUGACAACGUGAAAGCCUCAGUGUUGACCCAGACCCAACUCUGAGAAGCCUGGUUGAUUGUCAUACAGCUUUGUCCAUGUUGACAGGGGGGACUGUGGAGACACCACCACUGCUGCCCUUGCUCCAGCCAUUCUGGGACAUCCAUGGAAACCCAUCUGGAUUACACUUGCACCUUUGUAGCAAAACCCAGAAGACAGGACCACUGCCAUGAGGAAGACUAAGAGAAGUGUGCCAUGGGGAAAAAAAGGUUUUGUGGGGAGGAUGAAGAGGAGAGCUUUUCAUGAGCUAUCAAAGAGGAAAAUACCAAGAGUGGUGUGGCUGCCCAUGAAGGUGCUGCCUCUGCCCACCACAGCUCACAGGGCAUAUGAGGACCCCUGGGUCAGUGCUGGCUGCAGGCUGAGGGGGGAUCAGUGCACGCCUCCUGGCAAGGGUGGAGCUAGGGGCCUGCGCACGUAAAGGUUUCUCCUUACAGUCACAGUGCCCCUGUGAACCUAGGAAGGAGAUGGUCUAAACCUCUCUGUAGCAAAAAGUGCACUCUGCAACCUUGAGCACCAAGGUUCUGUGCUGCAGCACCUUGAGUUCCUUCAUCAGAGCAGACUCACAUCAAUCACCCUAACACCAGCUCACCUCCCAGAGCCUGGGAGGUGCUGCUUAGGCUGCUGAAUGCAGAUAACGCAAAGGGUAUUUAUGUCACCACAGAAGGAUUACACUUCAUGAGAUGUCUUCUGCACCAGAAUUAUCUGAGCCUUGCACUGUGAAGCAGAGAUCUCAGUCUUGUAAACUUUAUAGGCAUAGCCACUGCCAUACCAAACAUUGUCCCUGCUGUUUCCUGUGUGAUCCAGGUAAUCUGUUAGGGAGCAGAAGCCAUGUGAGGGCAUCCUUAAACAUGAACAUCAGGUUCCCCAAAGACAAGAAACAAAACAUUCACUGUGACAUAUUAAAAUAAACCAA